GCGUUGUCCGGAAUCAUUGGGCGUAAAGAGCGUGUAGGCGGCUUGGUAGGUCCCGUGUCAAAUCCUGAGGCUCAACCUCAGUCCGUCACGGGAAACCGCCUCGCUAGAGUCCGGAAGAGGAAAGUGGAACUCCUGGUGUAGCGGUGGAAUGCGCAGAUAUCAGGAAGAAUAUCGAUGGCGAAGGCAGCUUUCUGGGACGGUACUGACGCUGAGACGCGAAAGCGUG
This 226-nucleotide ribosomal RNA is filed under the name uncultured bacterium. Its description in RNAcentral is "partial 16S ribosomal RNA". It matches the Rfam family "Bacterial small subunit ribosomal RNA", at positions 538 to 763 of the family's 1533-position model. The record is from RNAcentral.